Burkholderiales bacterium is the source of this 65-nucleotide non-coding RNA. NCBI's taxonomy places the organism in Bacteria, Pseudomonadati, Pseudomonadota, Betaproteobacteria, Burkholderiales. The record is from Rfam.
UGUCUCCUCCACCUCCUCAAAGGGUGGAUUUAUAGGCCCAGACCGCAAGGUCUGGGCCUUUUUUU